This 164-nucleotide ribosomal RNA is filed under the name Saraca sp. Herendeen 1IV994. RNAcentral's name for it is "5.8S ribosomal RNA". It matches the Rfam family "5.8S ribosomal RNA". From Rfam's summary of the family: 5.8S ribosomal RNA (5.8S rRNA) is a component of the large subunit of the eukaryotic ribosome. It is transcribed by RNA polymerase I as part of the 45S precursor that also contains 18S and 28S rRNA. Functionally, it is thought that 5.8S rRNA may be involved in ribosome translocation. The record is from RNAcentral. Lineage: Eukaryota; Viridiplantae; Streptophyta; Magnoliopsida; Fabales; Fabaceae.
AACGACUCUCGGCAACGGAUAUCUCGGCUCUCGCAUCGAUGAAGAACGUAGCGAAAUGCGAUACUUGGUGUGAAUUGCAGAAUCCCGUGAACCAUCKAGUCUUUGACGCAAGUUGUGCCCCAWUCCAUCARGCCUAGGGCCSUCUGGUUGGGUGUSACAUGAMG